Molecule: long non-coding RNA, 2028 nt
Organism: Hippocampus zosterae (dwarf seahorse)
Lineage: Eukaryota; Metazoa; Chordata; Actinopteri; Syngnathiformes; Syngnathidae
Exons: 2
Source: RefSeq, a predicted model, not a curated record
CGAUAUAAUAAUUACAAAAUCAUCCUUUUUGUUAUUACACUGCAAGUCCACUACACUAUAUUUGGGGGGGGGGGGGGUUCACUCCACCACACAAACACAAAAUGUUACAUUGUAACCCUUAUAUAACAAUGCUAUUGCGAUUCCAUUUGGUCAUAUCUUUGCACAUCAGGAUUUUUUGCCACUGUGGGGAUUUAAAAGAAGAAAAAUCUGAUCUUUUUUUCCCCAUCAGCUAAAAAUUAUGUGAAUGGAUGAGGACAACUAAUGUAAACAGUCCUAUUCUCCAUGCUUUUCUCAGUUUAACAUGAAACAAAGAUGCCUCACCAUUGUGCUAAAGACAUUUUCAGUGGGAAGUGCCCACUGAGUUAACAGAGUUUCGUGUCACAGUGCGUCAUCAGCAGGUUGUAUCAGAGACACUGUGUGACUGGAAGAGUCACUGAAAAGCAUUGGACAUUUUACACCUGUUGUGAAUUUUGAUUUUACACUUCUUGUUGGAGAACAGGAAACAUUGAAUAGUUGGCCCUCGUAUGUUCAACAGUUUAGAGAAUGUCAAAUUAAUUUUACUUAUAAAGGUUGUAGUGAAUUCAUUUUGUUUUUAGAAUUAAAAAGAAAUAGGUUCUUUCUGAAAUUUCACCAGAAAGGCAAAUAUCCCAGAGUUUUAGAGGGUUGUAAAUACCUCCCCUAAAUACAAAGCCCCUACAAAGCCGCCGCUCCCUGAUGAUUCAACCUUGAUGAGCUGGAGCAAUGUCGUCCAUCAAGAUGAAAUUAGGCCCAUGUUCAUUAAGGGGCACAAUCACUGGAUUAACAAUGUUAUUCAGGUAGUAUGGGCUUGUCACUGGACCAUUCACAAAAUGUAGGGCAGUGCUUGACCGACUGGACUCACCUGCCCACAUUGUAACAUCGCCACCACCAAAAGCACGUCUGGUGACAACAGUGGCUGAUGCACAGCACUCUCAUUGAAUUGUCCAACAUUGUUGGCGGCCAUCAUUUCUGCUCGCCGUGAAUCGACUUUCAUCAGAAAACAACACUGAGGUUCACUGGUCCGUCAUCCAGCGUAAAUGCUCCCUAGCCCAUGCAAAACGAUGAUGCCUGUUCCUGGUGGUGUGGACAGGCACUCUUGCAGGUCGUAUAGCACGCAGAUCACGCCAAUGUAAACUGUUUCAAAUGGUCUGACGUGACACUUGGGUGCCUCUCACCUCCCUUAAACGUGCCUUGAGUGGAGUAGCAUUUGUCUUUUUGUUGUUCACAAUGUAGUAGUCAUCAGCAUGGGAUGUGGCCAAAGGACAUCUACUUCUACAUCGUUCAGUGACUCUUCCAGUCUCUCUGUAUCUCUGUUGCAACCUGCUGAUGACACGCUGUAACACUCUAGGUUGAGUAGCCACGUCAGAAUCAUUAUUGGCCAAGUAUGUAGAACACACAAGGAAUUUGUCUCCAGUAUAACACGCCGCAUUAGUAUCGUUAUAAACAAGGACAUGACAGAUAAGUCUGGAAAAAUUAAGUAUGGAAGGACAUUUUGUAAUGUAAGUGAACCGUAGUGCGGUGGUACCACUGACAACUGUGAGACAAUGUGCAAAGUAUCAUGCAGAGCUAAAGUGAUCAGUGGUAGAAUAUAAUACUAUAACAGUUUUACAGUUGGUGCAAAAAAUCAUUGAUCCAUUUUAAAGUGACCAGUCGCAGUAUUUGUAGGACAAGAAGUGUGCAAUUGUGCAGAUGUCCUUGAGCGCUUUAAAGUGUCUGGUGCUGUGGACUAUACGUCAGUGACUGUUUAGGGAGUUAACGGUUAGAGGGAAAAAGCUGUUUAAGUGUCUGCAGGAUUUGGUGCGCAUGGAUCGUCUGAGAAUGUCUUGUUUGAAGCAUCACAACGUCAAAGUACUGGUGAUCCAUUGUUGUUAAAAUGUGAACAGCGUGAUGAGGAUGACUGUUUAAUACAUCAGCUCGAAUUAAACCUGGUCGAAUUAAACAUUGGUCAAUAUAAGGAUUAAAUGCCUGUUGUGAAUUUUGCCGUUUGGCUCCUAGUUAGAGAACAGCAAC